GAUGAAGAACGCAGCGAAAUGCGAUACGUAAUGUGAAUUGCAGAAUUCAGUGAAUCAUCGAAUCUUUGAACGCAUAUUGCGCUCUCUGGUAUUCCGGAGAGCAUGCUUGUUUGAGUAUCAGUAAACACCUCAACUUCCAUAUCUUUUUUGAAAUGGGAGUUGGACUUGAGUGAUCCCAACGCUUUUCCUCACCGAAAAGUGGCGGGUUACUUGAAAUGCAGGUGCAGCUGGACUUUUCUCUGAGCUAUAAGCAUAUCUAUUUAGUCUGCCUAAAAAACAGAUUAUUACCUUUGCUGCAGCUAACAUAAAGGAGAUUAGUUCUUGUGCUGACUGAUGCAGGAUUCACAAAGACAGGCUUCGGCCGACUUUGUAAACUCGAUCUCAAAUCAAGUAAGACUACCCGCUGAACUAAAGCAUAUCAAUAAGCGGAGGA
Molecule: unclassified non-coding RNA, 433 nt
Filed under: soil metagenome
Description: partial contains 5.8S ribosomal RNA, internal transcribed spacer 2, and large subunit ribosomal RNA
Rfam family: 5.8S ribosomal RNA (bases 1-120)
Source: RNAcentral